This 2888-nucleotide ribosomal RNA is filed under the name Clostridioides difficile. RNAcentral's name for it is "bacterial LSU rRNA". It matches the Rfam family "Bacterial large subunit ribosomal RNA". Lineage: Bacteria; Bacillati; Bacillota; Clostridia; Peptostreptococcales; Peptostreptococcaceae. The record is from RNAcentral.
UUAAGGGUGCAGGGCGGAUGCCUUGGCACUAGGAGCCGAUGAAGGACGUGAUAAGCUGCGAUAAGCUUCGGGGAGUUGCACGUAAACUUUGAUCCGAAGAUUUCCGAAUGAGGAAACUCACUUAGAGUAAUGUCUAAGUAUCAUUAAGUGAAUACAUAGCUUAAUGAGGGGAACUCAGGGAACUGAAACAUCUAAGUACCUGAAGGAAGAGAAAGAAAUUCGAUUCCGUAAGUAGCGGCGAGCGAACGCGGAUUAGCCCAAACCAAUAAAGUUUUCUUUAUUGGGGUUGCGGACAUAUCAUAACGAAGAGGUAUCGUAAUUGAAGAGGUUUGGAAAGACCCACCACAGAAGGUAAUAGUCCUGUAUGUUAAACGAGAAGACUUNAGAUAUGAUCCAGAGUACCACGGGACACGUGAAACCCUGUGGGAAGCAGGAGGGACCACCCUCCAAGGCUAAAUACUACCUAGUGACCGAUAGCGUAUAGUACCGUGAGGGAAAGGUGAAAAGAACCCCGGGAGGGGAGUGAAAUAGAACCUGAAACCCUGCACUUACAAGCUGUGGAAGCACAUUUCUUGUGUGACCGCGUACUUUUUGUAGAACGGGCCAACGAGUUACGUUAAGUAGCAAGGUUAAGCACUUAAGGUGCGGAGCCGUAGCGAAAGCGAGUUUUAACUGAGCGUUCAGUUACUUGACGUAGACCCGAAACCGGGCGACCUACCCAUGAGCAGGAUGAAGCGAAAGUAAAAUUUCGUGGAGGUCCGAACCCACGAGCGUUGAAAAGCUCGGGGAUGACUUGUGGGUAGCGGUGAAAUUCCAAUCGAGCCCGGAGAUAGCUGGUUCUCCCCGAAAUAGCUUUAGGGCUAGCCUCAAGGUGAGAGAUACGGAGGUAGAGCACUGAAUGUCCUAGGGGGUAUUGCACCUACCGAAGACUAUCAAACUCCGAAUGCCGUCAUCUUAUACUUGGGAGUCAGACUGUGGGUGAUAAGAUUCAUAGUCGAAAGGGCAACAGCCCAGAUCGUCAGCUAAGGUCCCUAAAUGUAAGUUAAGUGGUAAAGGAUGUGGGAUUGCACAGACAACCAGGAUGUUGGCUUAGAAGCAGCCACUCAUUCAAAGAGUGCGUAAUAGCUCACUGGUCGAGUGAUCCUGCGCCGAAGAUUUCCGGGGCUAAAACUUACUACCGAAGCUACGGCAUCAGUAAUGAUGGGUAGGGGAGCUUCCCAUACGGGUUGAAGCAUGACCGUAAGGACAUGUGGACAGUAUGGGAGUGAGAAUGUUGGCAUGAGUAGCGAGAUGUGGGUGAGAAUCCCACAGGCCGUAAACCCAAGGUUUCCAGGGGAAGGUUCGUCCGCCCUGGGUUAGUCGGGACCUAAGCUGAGGCCGAAAGGCGUAGGUGAUGGACAACAGGUUGAUAUUCCUGUACUACCGAUAACCGUUUGAGAGAAGGGAUGACACAGUAGGAUAAGCUAAGCACACUGUUGGUUAUGUGUGCCCAAGCAUUGAGGCAGUCAAAGUAGGCAAAUCCGCUUUGAUAAUGCUGGGAUGUGAUGGGGAGCGAAAUUUAGUAGCGAAGUAGCUGAUUUCACACUGUCAAGAAAAGUCUCUAUCGAGGUUAAAGGUACCCGUACCGCAAACCGACACAGGUGGGUGAGGAGAGUAUCCUAAGGCCAGCGAGAGAACUGUUGUUAAGGAACUCGGCAAAAUGACCCCGUAACUUAGGGAUAAGGGGUGCCACCAUCAGGUGGCCGCAGAGAAUAGGCCCAAGCGACUGUUUACCAAAAACAUAGGUUUCUGCUAAGUCGCAAGACGAUGUAUAGGAGCUGACGCCUGCCCGGUGCUGGAAGGUUAAGGGGAUCUGUUAGAGCAAUCGAAGCAGUGAACUUAAGCCCCAGUAAACGGCGGCCGUAACUAUAACGGUCCUAAGGUAGCGAAAUUCCUUGUCGGGUAAGUUCCGACCCGCACGAAAGGCGUAACGAUUUGGGCACUGUCUCAACAACAGACUCGGUGAAAUUGUAAUUCCGGUGAAGAUGCCGGAUACCUGCGACAGGACGGAAAGACCCCAUGGAGCUUUACUGUAGCUUGACAUUGGGUCUUGGUACUACAUGUACAGGAUAGGUGGGAGGCUUUGAAACCAGGACGCCAGUUUUGGCGGAGCCAUCCUUGGGAUACCACCCUUGUAGUACUGGGACUCUAACCAUAGGCCAUGAAUCUGGUCUUGGGACACUGUCAGGUGGGCAGUUUGACUGGGGCGGUCGCCUCCCAAAAGGUAACGGAGGCGCUCAAAGGUUCUCUCAGUACGGUCGGAAAUCGUACGUAGAGUGUAAAGGCAAAAGAGAGCUUGAUUGCAAGACAUACAGGUCGAGCAAGGAUGAAAAUCGGACUUAGUGAUCCGGUGGUUCUGCGUGGAAGGGCCAUCGCUCAACGGAUAAAAGCUACCCUGGGGAUAACAGGCUUAUCUCCCCCAAGAGUCCACAUCGACGGGGAGGUUUGGCACCUCGAUGUCGGCUCAUCACAUCCUGGGGCUGUAGUAGGUCCCAAGGGUUGGGCUGUUCGCCCAUUAAAGUGGUACGCGAGCUGGGUUCAGAACGUCGUGAGACAGUUCGGUCCCUAUCCGUCGCAGGCGUAGGAAAUUUGAGAAGACCUGUCCUUAGUACGAGAGGACCGGGAUGGACGUACCUCUGGUGUACCAGUUGUCCUGCCAAGGGCAUGGCUGGGUAGCUAUGUACGGAAUGGAUAAGCGCUGAAAGCAUCUAAGCGCGAAGCCAACUUCAAGAUAAGAUUUCCCACCGCAAGGGUAAGACCCCAGAAAGACUAUCUGGUUGAUAGGUCGAAGGUGUAAGUGCAGCAAUGUAUUUAGCUUAUCGAUACUAAUAGGUCGAGGACUUGACCAA